UGCCAUGAUGAGCCAUUUUAUAUUUUGUAUUCACACUGUCUGAAUUUCUUGAAGAUAUACUGAAACUCUGAGCAAAGCCUGAUU
Molecule: small nucleolar RNA, 84 nt
Filed under: Schizosaccharomyces pombe (fission yeast)
Lineage: Eukaryota; Fungi; Ascomycota; Schizosaccharomycetes; Schizosaccharomycetales; Schizosaccharomycetaceae
Source: RNAcentral